ACGGGAGGCAGCAGUGGGGAAUAUUGCACUGGGCGAAAGCCUGAUGCAGCAACGCCGCGUGAGGGACGAAGGCCUUCGGGUUGUAAAUCUUUUAGUAGGGAAGAAGCGAAAGUGACGGUACCUGCAGAAAAAGCACCGGCUAACUGUGCCAGCAGCCGCGGUAAUACGUAGGGUGCAAGCGUUGUCCGGAAUUAUUGGGCGUAGAGCUCGUAGGCGGUUUGUCGCGUCUGCUGUGAAAACCCGAGGCUCAACCUCGGGCCUAGUGGGUACGGGCAGACUAGAGUGCGGUAGGGGAGAAUGGAAUUCCUGGUGUAGCGGUAAUGCGCAGAUAUCAGGAGGAACACCAAUGGCGAAGGCAGUUCUCUGGGCCGUAACUGGCUGAGGAGCGAAAGCGUGGGGAGCAAACAGGAUUAGAUACCCUGGUAGUCCACGCCGAACGUUGGGCGCUAGUUGUGGGGACCAUUCCACGGUCUCCGUGACGUAGCUAACGCAU
RNAcentral lists this ribosomal RNA (493 nucleotides) under uncultured bacterium. RNAcentral's name for it is "bacterial SSU rRNA". It matches the Rfam family "Bacterial small subunit ribosomal RNA", at positions 341 to 860 of the family's 1533-position model. The record is from RNAcentral.